Molecule: ribosomal RNA, 459 nt
Filed under: uncultured bacterium
Lineage: Bacteria
Description: partial 16S ribosomal RNA
Rfam family: Bacterial small subunit ribosomal RNA
Source: RNAcentral
CCUACGGGUGGCAGCAGUGAGGAAUAUUGGUCAAUGGGCGCGAGCCUGAACCAGCCAAGUCGCGUGAGGGAAGACGGUCCUAUGGAUUGUAAACCUCUUUUGUCGGGGAGCAAAAGACGCCACGCGUGUCGUUCCGAGAGUACCCGAAGAAAAAGCAUCGGCUGACUCCGUGCCAGCAGCCGCGGUAAUACGGAGGAUGCGAGCGUUAUCCGGAUUUAUUGGGUUAAAGGGGUGCGCAGGCGGAAGAUCAAGUCAGCGGGAAAAUUGAGAGGCUCAACCUCUUCGAGCCGUUGAAACUGGUUUUCUUGAGUGAGCGAGAAGUAUGCGGAAUGCGUGGUGUAGCGGUGAAAUGCAUAGAUAUCACGCAGAACUCCGAUGGCGAAGGCAGCAGACCGGCGCUCAACUGACGCUCAUGCACGAAAGUGUGGGUAUCGAACAGGAUUAGAUACCCGAGUAGUC